AAAGCCGUGGUGCCCGUGGCCCUGUCCCUGCAGCACCAGGCCUGCUGUCCCCAGUGUCCCCAUAGAGCCCCUGCCACCUCCUCAGCACCGACCGUGCUCUCCACAUUGACUGCAUCAGGCUGCUCCUAUCGACGUUGUUAAGCUCAGGUUUAACUUGCAUAACAUCACAGAUCCUCCUCCAAAGCCAAUGCAUUAAUUGCUGGGGAAGAACAGGAAAACAUAAAGAGCCUUUCAAGGGAAUAAUUUUCUAAAAGUCAGAAUCUGCAAAGCUUAUUUCUGAUAUCACGAGUGCAAUGGAAAUAUUCAGCAAGCAUCUACUGCAGAAGACCUCAAUAAUGCAUAAGAACAUCUGGAGGUGCGGUAAUUUCGGCUAUCAGAGAUAAGAAUUGACACAAAACAGCAAAACUCCGUAAAGAACUUCCAGCUCAGGAACGUUGUGGAGUGUUUUAGAUAUCCAGAGAGAAGCUGUUUGUCAUCUCUGCCCAGGAAUCCACCUUCCAGCCUGGCCCUCAGCAU
Molecule: non-coding RNA, 516 nt
Organism: Zonotrichia albicollis (white-throated sparrow)
Lineage: Eukaryota; Metazoa; Chordata; Aves; Passeriformes; Passerellidae
Source: RefSeq, a predicted model, not a curated record